RNAcentral lists this ribosomal RNA (504 nucleotides) under uncultured bacterium. RNAcentral describes it as "partial 16S ribosomal RNA". It matches the Rfam family "Bacterial small subunit ribosomal RNA", at positions 29 to 523 of the family's 1533-position model. The record is from RNAcentral.
AUUGAACGCUGGCGGCAGGCCUAACACAUGCAAGUCGGACGGUAGCACAGAGAGCUUGCUCUCGGGUGACGAGUGGCGGACGGGUGAGUAAUGUCUGGGGAUCUGCCCGAUAGAGGGGGAUAACCACUGGAAACGGUGGCUAAUACCGCAUAACGUCGCAAGACCAAAGAGGGGGACAUUCGGGCCUCUCACUAUCGGAUGAACCCAGAUGGGAUUAGCUAGUAGGCGGGGUAAUGGCCCACCUAGGCGACGCUCCCUAGCUGGUCUGAGCGGAUGACCAGCCACACUGGAACUGAGACACGGUCCAGACUCCUACGGGAGGCAGCAGUGGGGAAUAUUGCACAAUGGGCGCAAGCCUGAUGCAGCCAUGCCGCGUGUAUGAAGAAGGCCUUCGGGUUGUAAAGUACUUUCAGCGGGGAGGAAGGCGGUGCGGUUAAUAACCGCGCCGAUUGACGUUACCCGCAGAAGAAGCACCGGCUAACUCCGUGCCAGCCGCCGCGGUAA